UACGUAGGGGGCUAGCGUUGCUCGGAAUUACUGGGCGUAAAGCGCACGUAGGCGGAUACUUAAGUCAGGGGUGAAAUCCCGGGGCUCAACCCCGGAACUGCCUUUGAUACUGGGUAUCUCGAGUCCGGAAGAGGUGAGUGGAAUUCCGAGUGUAGAGGUGAAAUUCGUAGAUAUUCGGAGGAACACCAGUGGCGAAGGCGGCUCACUGGUCCGGUACUGACGCUGAGGUGCGAAAGCGUGGGGAGCAAACAGG
RNAcentral lists this ribosomal RNA (253 nucleotides) under uncultured bacterium. RNAcentral describes it as "partial 16S ribosomal RNA". It matches the Rfam family "Bacterial small subunit ribosomal RNA", at positions 524 to 776 of the family's 1533-position model. The record is from RNAcentral.